RNAcentral lists this ribosomal RNA (847 nucleotides) under Polypedates leucomystax (Java whipping frog). RNAcentral describes it as "partial 16S ribosomal RNA". It matches the Rfam family "Bacterial large subunit ribosomal RNA", at positions 1238 to 2609 of the family's 2925-position model. The record is from RNAcentral. Lineage: Eukaryota; Metazoa; Chordata; Amphibia; Anura; Rhacophoridae.
AUACCAUUAAUUUUCAUGAACCCCUAAUUUAUAAUGAAUGACUCCAUAUUUAUAUGGAAGACACCAUGCUAGGAUUAGUAACAAGAAUUUAUAAUUCUCCAAAAUGCAAAUAUAAACCAACAUGGAUAGACCAUUGGUAGUUACCGAACCUAAAUUUACUGCAAUAACACCCACAAGAAAACUCUGCAGUACUUACUCGUUAACCUAACACCAGCGCAUUACAGGAAAGAUUUAAAAAAAGAGAAGGAAUUCGGCAAAUGACGGCCCCGCCUGUUUACCAAAAACAUCGCCUCUUGACUUAUAAUAAGAGGUCCAGCCUGCCCAGUGAAUUUUAAACGGCCGCGGUAUCCUAACCGCGCGAAGGUAGCAUAAUCACUUGUUCUUUAAAUGGGGACUCGUAUCAACGGCAUCACGAGGGUUUUACUGUCUCCUCUUUUUGAUCAGUGAAAUUGAUCUUCCCGUGAAGAAGCGGGAAUAUUUUUAUAAGACGAGAAGACCCCAUGGAGCUUUAAACCAAAUAACAACUUAACUACUUAUCCCACAAUAAAUUUAAGCCCUGUUAUAAGGUUUUUGGUUGGGGUGACCGCGGAGUAAAGCACAUCCUCCACGACGGAAAGAACAUAAUCUUUAUUUAAGAACCACACUUCUAGAAAUUAGUAUACUAACGUUUACUGACCCGACAAUCGAUCAACGGACCAAGUUACCCUGGGGAUAACAGCGCAAUCUACUUCAAGAGCUCAUAUCGACAAGUAGGCUUACGACCUCGAUGUUGGAUCAGGGUAUCCCGGUGGUGCAGCCGCUACCGAAGGUUCGUUUGUUCAACGAUUAAAACCCUACGUGAUCUGAU